GAUGAACGCUGGCGGCGUGCCUAAUACAUGCAAGUCGAACGGAGGGUCGCAAGACCUUCAGUGGCGAACGGGUGAGUAACGCGUUGGUACCUGCCCCGAAGUGAGGGAUAACGGGACGAAAGUCUCGCUAAUACCCCAUGUGCUCCGCGAGGAGUAAAGGAGAAAUCCGCUUUGGGAGGGGCCUGCGUCCCAUCAGCUAGUUGGUAAGGUAACGGCUUACCAAGGCGAUGACGGGUAGGGGACCUGAGAGGGUGAACCCCCACAAUGGAACUGAGACACGGUCCAAACUCCUACGGGAGGCAG
RNAcentral lists this ribosomal RNA (303 nucleotides) under uncultured Chloroflexota bacterium. RNAcentral describes it as "bacterial SSU rRNA". It matches the Rfam family "Bacterial small subunit ribosomal RNA", at positions 28 to 351 of the family's 1533-position model. The record is from RNAcentral. Lineage: Bacteria; Bacillati; Chloroflexota.